AGCGGAGGAAAAGAAACCAACAGGGAUUGCCUUAGUAGCGGCGAGUGAAGCGGCAAAAGCUCAAAUUUGAAAUCUGGCUCUUUCAGAGUCCGAGUUGUAAUUUGAAGAAGGUAUCUUUGGGUCUGGCUCUUGUCUAUGUUUCUUGGAACAGAACGUCACAGAGGGUGAGAAUCCCGUGCGAUGAGAUGAUCCAGGCCUAUGUAAAGUUCCUUCGAAGAGUCGAGUUGUUUGGGAAUGCAGCUCUAAGUGGGUGGUAAAUUCCAUCUAAAGCUAAAUAUUGGCGAGAGACCGAUAGCGAACAAGUACAGUGAUGGAAAGAUGAAAAGAACUUUGAAAAGAGAGUGAAAAAGUACGUGAAAUUGUUGAAAGGGAAGGGCUUGAGAUCAGACUUGGUAUUUUGUAUGUUACUUCUUCGGGGGUGGCCUCUACAGUUUAUCGGGCCAGCAUCAGUUUGGGCGGUAGGAGAAUUGCGUUGGAAUGUGGCACGGCUUCGGUUGUGUGUUAUAGCCUUCGUCGAUACUGCCAGCCUAGACUGAGGACUGCGGUUUAUACCUAGGAUGUUGGCAUAAUGAUCUUAAGUCGCCCGUCUUGAAACACGGACCA
RNAcentral lists this ribosomal RNA (603 nucleotides) under Candida tropicalis. Its description in RNAcentral is "partial 26S ribosomal RNA". It matches the Rfam family "Eukaryotic large subunit ribosomal RNA", at positions 49 to 668 of the family's 3401-position model. The record is from RNAcentral. Lineage: Eukaryota; Fungi; Ascomycota; Pichiomycetes; Serinales; Debaryomycetaceae.